CCGACGGCGAAGUGCCCUCAAGGCGUGAGGGAGAGCUCCCGGCUUAGGGGAUAGGGGAGCUGCGCUUCUGCCGUCGUGUGCGCGCGGCUGGCUCGGAGCGUGAGGGCUGAAGUGCAGAGAAAGGAGAUCCUGUAAGAGAAGACUUUGGAGGUGGGGCACAAAAGUUCUGCAGCUCUAGUAAUGUAGAGAUGUGCUGAUACAACCCUGCUGUAGGGUUGGGAAGAAGGAGCGGCAAGCUAAGGGCAAACAAAGAGAUGUCAACAAAAGGAUUGCUGAGAAGAGAGCAUCAGUUGAGGGAAGUCAGUCGUAGCUGUUAACAUUUAAAAAGCCCUUUCAAGGACUAACAAAAUAAAGGAUAGAGGUGUCCUCAUCCUGAAAUAGCUUUUAUAUUUCUGAACCUGUUAUAAAAGCUUUUCUUAGAAGCUUUCUUUCUAAAAACAAAAUAGUUUCUAUCGUAAACAAGACAGGCAGCACAUCAAUACAAAGACUAUCUUCACUUACUUUUAUUUCUGGGCUAGGAGACACCAUCAUUCAGUACCACAGGGAACGAAGUAAGAAUUGUUGCCUCAGCUUAACAAAUGAAGAAAACAAAGAAUGGAGAAACGUUGUCCUUGAACCCAGCUGUGUGUAGGCUUCCAGUAUUGUUGCAUAUAUUAGGCUUUGUUCUCAAUAGAAAGAUAAAAAAAUCCCCAUUUUUUAGCAAGUUAAAAGAUAAGUCAGGACAGCUCUCUAUAGGCACAGUCCUAGGGGAGCAAGGAGCCAGGUAGCUUCUAUAUCGGGGUAGCCAGUCAAGGCCAGGCAUCUCUCUUACUUGCUGUGAAUGUGAACCAGCUACAUCAAAAUAGGAAAGCAGAAAGCUUUCCUUCCACUGAGAUAUUACAUCAUAUUAGACUGUCUGGGCUUCUUCAUUUACCGCUGUACCCAAUACUGUACCCGGGUACAAAUCUUUUUCUAUUGCAAUGAAGAUACAGCUUUAUAUCUCUCUCUUCUUUCCUUCUUUUCCUUUUGUGCUUGAUAACACAUAAAAGCACCAAUAAAGACAAGACAUUUCACAGAAAGUAUUUGCCAAAUUCAGUUAUUCUACCAGGAGCCUGAAUGGUGAAACAAAACCUUCAGCGUUAUCAAAAUGAAUUGUGUUUGUUUAGACUGCAAAUUCAGUAGUUCCUCUAUCUUCUGCUUCAUUUAUCUGUAGUAAAGCAGAAUAUUUUACCCAUGAGGUGAAACACCUCAUGGAAAUCUAACAGUUCCAUCUGGUUUUCUUAGGGAAUUGAAAUUAUUGGGUGAUUUGAAAACGGUACGGACAAACCUGUAUACAUUAUGGUGACAAAUUCUUCUCUGAAAAAACUUGGACAGAAUCAACACUGUCCUUUUUUUGAGUCAUAUAACACUGUGAAAGCCAGGCCUCUGAAGUCAGUUGAAAGUUGUCCGUGUAUAGAAUUUGUGUUUUCUUAUAACGACUCCAUGUUUCUAAUACCUUUGAAUCUUUUUCUGUUAUGAGCAAAGAGAAAUGGGAAGGAAAUGUAAUUGGAAUGUGGAGAACAUGGCUCUGCAUGUUCUCCUUCCCACUGUUGUGUGACUGUAAUAGAUGUUCCUCCUUAAGGGCUUCAGCAGCAUUUGUGUAAGUGGUCAGUUGAGAAGUAUAAGACAUUACACCAGGUAUCUUGAUACUGAUGCUUUUAAUUCAAUUCAAAAUGAUCUGGAAAAGAUUUUGGCGUCAAAAAUAAACAAAAAGAAGGUGCAUUACCAUUGUGAUGUGUGUGUAAGUCCCAAAUCAGAGUCCUCUCUGAAAUGCUUGACUUUCAUGCUCAGUGGAAUACAGAGAACUUUCACGUGCAUCUGAUGUCCAAAUAAGCCUUGAAGACUGACACAAAUCUGCAUUUCCACAGUAGGGCUGUGUCACAGUACUGUCAACUGCCACUGCAUUACAAACAUUUUUCCUUCUACAAAAACACCUACGUUAAUUUAUGUCCUGACAGUCUGUGCUCCACGUAUGUGAUCAUUCACUACCCCUCCUACUUAUAGGAACCUGUAAGAUGAAUUAAGCCCACUGCAGCCAGUUUGUAUGUGUUCUUGUGACUUGUGUUACUUAACAUGCAGACAGCAUGUCCCCUUGGUUUUUGCUGCUGUAAGAUCUUUACUAUACAAAAGGAUGUAUGAAUAGAUAUUUGCUCUUCUACUUUGUCCCUGUGCUGGGCCAUGGAUUAUUAAUUCAGUAUCAGUCACAGCCUAUUGGCUUUGAGUGACUGCAAUAAAUACAAAAAUAAAAGGGAAAUUCAUUACCCGCUUUUACCUGUUUAACGCCAACAUCUUAUUUCUUGCAUCGGGUCUUUAAAAUUAAUGUAGUGAACUUUUCAAGCUGUACACAGUAUUAAUAAACUAUAAACUCUCUGCCAACUUUGCCAAGAACCUACUGAGCAUUCUGCCUACGCUGCGGUUGACUUUAACAUUUUGGUAUGCUUUCUCUUAUAGUAAACAACAUAAAGUUGCAGGUGCAGUACUGCAGCAACAUAUGUACAUUUUGACAUUAAGGAUAGGAAGUUGAGCUCAAGCAUCAGGGUAUGUUUAAUUGUCUGAAAUAAUAAAUUUUAAAGAAAUUAACCUGGAUGUGAAAGAUCACGUCCUUUUUUAUAUCAUGGUAUUUAUGAUAGGUCUGAGAUCGUAAUGGUAUCCUGCCUAGAAAGCUUUAUGUUAGGAUGAGUGGUUAUGGCCCACAGGUACAAAGUACCAGGAAGAAAGAUAGGCUGUUCUGCUGACUUUAGGUCUUUGUUUUCCCAGGGGGUGUACCAGGUGCCUUUUUCUGUUUUUAAAUAAGACAUUAUUUAUAAAGAAUUUGGGAUCCAAAGUGGGAAAGCUUAGUAAAAAUGUCACAUAUUAUGCUGUUAAUUUACUAGAAGUUAGUUUGGUACAGAAGACUGAGAUGUUUACUUUGCAUGGAAAGCUGAGAUGGAAAAAAAACAAUAAAAAAUAAGGUUGUAUGCUGUCCCUAACCAGCUUAAUGAGUGAACAUUCCUGUAUGUGCCAUUGCCAGAACUGGUAUGUAUAUCACAUAAAAUCAUGUCUAUCAGCAACAUAGAAUCAUGUAGGUUGGAAGGGACGCCAGGGCUUAUCUGGUCCUACCUCCUGCUUGGUGCAGAUCCCAUUAGAGCACAGGGCUGCAUCCAGUUGGUUUCCAGUAUCUCCAAGGAUGGUAAUACUGCACUGUUUCUUGGCAACCUAGCCCAGAGUUUGACAUCUUCGUGGCAGUUUUUCCUUAUGUAGAAUUACAACUUCCUGUAAUGUAACUUGUAUUCAUUGCCACUUGUCAUUUCAUGGUGUGCCUCUGUGAGGAUCCUUGUUUCACCUUCCUCACUCCCUCUCACUAAGCAGCUGCAGGCAGCAAUAAGCUCUCCCCUCUGCCUGCUGUUUUCCAGGCUGUGCACACCAGCUCUCAGCUUCUUCUUACACUUCUUGCUGAUUGCCUUGGUGCCUCUGCUGACCUGCUUUACUCUUUCAGUGUCUUUCUUGCACUGGGGAGAUCAGAGCUGGAGGCGCUGCUCCUGAUGCAGGCUCACAGGUGCCAGAAAGAUGGGAAUUAUGACGUCUCUCAGUCUGCUGUCAGUGCUUCCGUUGGUACAGCCCAGG
Non-coding RNA from Meleagris gallopavo (turkey), 3621 nucleotides. Lineage: Eukaryota; Metazoa; Chordata; Aves; Galliformes; Phasianidae. The record is from RefSeq and is a predicted model, not a curated record.